Peromyscus maniculatus bairdii (prairie deer mouse) is the source of this 676-nucleotide non-coding RNA. NCBI's taxonomy places the organism in Eukaryota, Metazoa, Chordata, Mammalia, Rodentia, Cricetidae. The record is from RefSeq and is a predicted model, not a curated record.
GAAUUUUUUUUGUCUGAUUCCAGCAAAAAGAAACUAUGAAAUGGGCAGCAUGAAGAGCCAUCAAAUUAAAUUUAAGUGUUGAUAACAAAUGGCACGGUCUCUGCUGUAAAGAGUUUGCUACAGCUCCCCAGAGUCCCUGGGAAUGAAGGUAGCUGUCAGCAAUCUCACCAGAUUUUCAAUGCGUGGACUUGACCUGUGUCAUUUCUUGAGGCUCCUGGCUUAAUGCUGCUAUAAAAGGCUUUGAUGAGGAGAUUUUUAGAUCUUCACUUACCAGCAACCUGCCCACACCAUUGCUGGGUAUUUGGUCCUACUGAAUCAGGCUUCUCAGUGAUGCCAUUAAAAGCUUCCUCACUUCCCAAACCUUCUGGGUUACUCCUCCUCCACCCAGGGGAGAGCAGCUUUCACAGUCUGGAAAUUAGGGGUGGAGACUGAAAACGACUAAUGACGUUGCUGUCCUGGGACUCUCCAUAGAUGUAAAAGUAUUGAUUGCCUACCAUGGGGAAGGUGGACGCCAUGUUCUGAAGACACUAGAGUAGCCUCUGUGCUGACCCAUGCAUGAGGGAUUGAGCUGUUGUCAAUAGCCUUCCUAUGAGGGACUGACUGUGGAAUGUCUUCCAUCCAGUUCCAUUGGGUACCAGGUUCCCAAGGACACAUGGUUUGCCUCCUGAGGUUGCAG